GGACAAAUCAAUCUCAAUCAAUGUGCAUGACCUUUUACCAUUAAACCCUUUUCUACUACUUAUAUCCUCUUUUUCUUUUCACCCCCCAUACAUUUCUCAAUCUGUUUUAUCUUUCUAAAUCUCUUUCUCUCUCUCAAUCUCUCUCAAUAAGAUGUCAUUGAUUCCAUCUAAAACUGAGAGCCCAAAGCUCACUAGUUGGGAGAUCCAACCAUUCGCAAAAAAGGUGAAGAAGGAGUCAUUGCAAAUCAGAAUUCAACCAGAAAAAGAAUGGAAUGGUUUAAUAUUACUGAUCGAGUGCAAAAAUAUUUUGGUAUAAGU
Molecule: long non-coding RNA, 318 nt
Filed under: Carica papaya (papaya)
Lineage: Eukaryota; Viridiplantae; Streptophyta; Magnoliopsida; Brassicales; Caricaceae
Description: long non-coding RNA (CPAP_LNC004954)
Source: RNAcentral